RNAcentral lists this ribosomal RNA (511 nucleotides) under uncultured bacterium. RNAcentral's name for it is "bacterial SSU rRNA". It matches the Rfam family "Bacterial small subunit ribosomal RNA", at positions 34 to 518 of the family's 1533-position model. The record is from RNAcentral.
CGCUGGCGGCGUGCCUAAUACAUGCAAGUCGAACGGUCUUUCUAUGGAAGCUUGCUUCCACUGAGAAGAUAGUGGCGAACGGGUGAGUAACACGUGGGUAACCUGCCCAUAAGAGGGGGAUAACAUCCGGAAACGGGUGCUAAUACCGCAUAGUUUUCUUGAUCGCAUGAUCGGGAAAGGAAAGACGGCCUUUGUGCUGUCGCUUAUGGAUGGACCCGCGGCGUAUUAGUUAGUUGGUGAGGUAACGGCUCACCAAGACGAUGAUACGUAGCCGACCUGAGAGGGUGAUCGGCCACAUUGGGACUGAGACACGGCCCAAACUCCUACGGGAGGCAGCAGUAGGGAAUCUUCCGCAAUGGACGAAAGUCUGACGGAGCAACGCCGCGUGAGUGAAGAAAGGUUUUCGGAUCGUAAAACUCUGUUGUCAGAGAAGAACAAGUUGGAGAGUAACUGCUCCAGCCUUGACGGUAUCUGACCAGAAAGCCACGGCUAACUACGUGCCAGCCGCGGC